GCUGAGAAAGGGGGGACGGGCACACUGGGACUGAGAACACGGCCAGACUCCUACGGGAGGCAGCAGUGGGGAAUAUGCACAUGGCGAAAGCUGAUGCAGCACGCGCGUGAGGGAUGACGCUUCGGGUGUAAACCUCUUUAGCAGGGAAGAAGCGAAAGUGACGGUACCUGCAGAAAAAGCGCCGGCUAACUACGUGCCAGCAGCCGCGGUAAUACGUAGGGCGCAAGCGUUAUCCGGAAUUAUUGGGCGUAAAGAGCUCGUAGGCGGUCUGUCGCGUCUGCUGUGAAAACCCGAGGCUCAACCUCGGGCCUGCAGUGGGUACGGGCAGACUAGAGUGCGGUAGGGGAGAUUGGAAUUCCUGGUGUAGCGGUGGAAUGCGCAGAUAUCAGGAGGAACACCGAUGGCGAAGGCAGAUCUCUGGGCCGUAACUGACGCUGAGGAGCGAAAGGGUGGGGAGCAAACAGGCUUAGAUACCCUGGUAGUCCACCCCGUAAACGUUGGGAACUAGUUGUGGGGUCCAUUCCACGGAUUCCGUGACGUAGCUAACGCAUUAAGUUCCCCGCCUGGGGAGUACGGCCGCAAGGCUAAAACUCAAAGGAAUUGACGGGGACCCGCACAAGCGGCGGAGCAUGCGGAUUAAUUCGAUGCAACGCGAAGAACCUUACCAAGGCUUGACAUAUACGAGAACGGGCCAGAAAUGGUCAACUCUUUGGACACUCGUAAACAGGUGGUGCAUGGUUGUCGUCAGCUCGUGUCGUGAGAUGUUGGGUUAAGUCCCGCAACGAGCGCAACCCUCGUUCUAUGUUGCCAGCACGUAAUGGUGGGAACUCAUGGGAUACUGCCGGGGUCAACUCGGAGGAAGGUGGGGAUGACGUCAAAUCAUCAUGCCCCUUAUGUCUUGGGCUUCACGCAUGCUACAAUGGCCGGUACAAAGGGCUGCAAUACCGCAAGGUGGAGCGAAUCCCAAAAAGCCGGUCCCAGUUCGGAUUGAGGUCUGCAACUCGACCUCAUGAAGUCGGAGUCGCUAGUAAUCGCGGAUCAGCAACGCUGCGGUGAAUACGUUCCCGGGUCUUGUACACACCGCCCGUCAAGUCAUGAAAGUCGGUAACACCUGAAGCCGGUGGCCCAACCCUU
This 1134-nucleotide ribosomal RNA is filed under the name Microbacterium sp. HF17. Its description in RNAcentral is "bacterial SSU rRNA". It matches the Rfam family "Bacterial small subunit ribosomal RNA", at positions 289 to 1443 of the family's 1533-position model. The record is from RNAcentral. Lineage: Bacteria; Bacillati; Actinomycetota; Actinomycetes; Micrococcales; Microbacteriaceae.